GGCUUCUCUGAUGACGUCACUUGGUUUACAUUUGAACUGGUUUCUGGCUGCUGCCCACACAGGUCAUGAAGUCAUCAGGAAAUGUGAUGUCACCAAGCAAUACAUGUACACUCGCUGGCCACUUUAUUAGAUGGAAAAUUGCAAAUGCAGAUUGUGAGAUGGUUCAGGAGUCCACCGAAGAAGAAGAAUCUGAAACAUGAGAAUACGAAUCCAAUAAUGAGUGAGAACAAGCCUACUAAAAAAAAGAUUUUCCCAUGCUGAAUAAGAUAUACCUGAGAAGGAGUUGGAAGUUUUUUCCAGGGAUGAAAAAUUUACAAUGUGGACAGUUCCCGUACCUGUAAUUUCCAGCUGGGCUGGUGCGUCGUUCUCAAACCAGAGGAAGCACCGUCAGGUGUGAAACUAGUUGUUUGUCUCGGAACCCCUCCACACCUCAUGCCUAUUUCUUUCCAGUUGUACAUCUUGGAAAUAAAAUCUUCACAAUUGCAACUACAGAGGGUGAGUGCGAUUUAUCUACCAGUCUUCUAUCUUACAUUAUUGUCUACAAUUCAUCCAUAAUCUGCACACCCUGGUAUUGCUCAAAUCUUUGAACUGCCUCCCCUGAAUUCAUCUUUCAAGUGUUGCACCUGUAAGCUAUGCCACCAUUUG
Molecule: long non-coding RNA, 645 nt
Organism: Hyla sarda
Lineage: Eukaryota; Metazoa; Chordata; Amphibia; Anura; Hylidae
Exons: 4
Source: RefSeq, a predicted model, not a curated record